Molecule: unclassified non-coding RNA, 209 nt
Filed under: Glomus sp.
Lineage: Eukaryota; Fungi; Glomeromycota; Glomeromycetes; Glomerales; Glomeraceae
Description: partial contains 5.8S ribosomal RNA and internal transcribed spacer 2
Rfam family: 5.8S ribosomal RNA (bases 1-65)
Source: RNAcentral
GUGAAUCAUCAAAUUUUUGAACGCAAAUGGCACUCUCUGCGGAGGGUAUGCCUGUUUGAGGGUCAGCCUAAAAAAAAUCGACAUAGUUGCUGAUACGCGGUAACAUUCGUCGGAAAUUGGGUUAUCUUAAACCUUUGGGUUUAGGCGGCUUAAAGUUUUCUUUACGAUUCCGAGAACGUUUUUAAGGUUUUUUAUUCUUAUACGUGUAA